CGGGAUGUAGCGCAGCUUGGUAGCGCGCCUGCUUUGGGAGCAGGAUGCCGCAGUUGACUCUCGUAAUCUCGU
Molecule: transfer RNA, 72 nt
Filed under: Plectolyngbya sp. WJT66-NPBG17
Lineage: Bacteria; Bacillati; Cyanobacteriota; Cyanophyceae; Leptolyngbyales; Leptolyngbyaceae
Also listed under: 1 other name
Description: tRNA-Pro
Rfam family: tRNA
About the family: Transfer RNA (tRNA) molecules are approximately 80 nucleotides in length. Their secondary structure includes four short double-helical elements and three loops (D, anti-codon, and T loops).
Source: RNAcentral